UACGAAGGGGGCUAGCGUUGCUCGGAAUCACUGGGCGUAAAGGGUGCGUAGGCGGGUCUUUAAGUCAGGGGUGAAAUCCUGGAGCUCAACUCCAGAACUGCCUUUGAUACUGAGGAUCUUGAGUUCGGGAGAGGUGAGUGGAACUGCGAGUGUAGAGGUGAAACUCGUAGAUAUUCGCAAGAACACCAGUGGCGAAGGCGGCUCACUGGCCCGAUACUGACGCUGAGGCACGAAAGCGUGGGGAGCAAACAGG
RNAcentral lists this ribosomal RNA (253 nucleotides) under uncultured bacterium. RNAcentral's name for it is "partial 16S ribosomal RNA". It matches the Rfam family "Bacterial small subunit ribosomal RNA", at positions 524 to 776 of the family's 1533-position model. The record is from RNAcentral.